RNAcentral lists this ribosomal RNA (443 nucleotides) under uncultured bacterium. Its description in RNAcentral is "partial 16S ribosomal RNA". It matches the Rfam family "Bacterial small subunit ribosomal RNA", at positions 338 to 795 of the family's 1533-position model. The record is from RNAcentral.
CCUACGGGAGGCAGCAGUGGGGAAUAUUGCACAAUGGGGGGAACCCUGAUCCAGCGACGCCGCGUGAGUGAAGAAGUAUUUCGGUAUGUAAAGCUCUAUCAGCAGGGAAGAAAGAAAUGACGGUACCGGACUAAGAAGCACCGGCUAACUACGUGCCAGCAGCCGCGGUAAUACGUAGGGGGCAAGCGUUAUCCGGAUUUACUGGGUGUAAAGGGAGCGUAGACGGCGAUGCAAGUCUGAAGUGAAAGGCGGGGGCCCAACCCCCGGACUGCUUUGGAAACUGUCUGGCUGGAGUGCAGGAGAGGUAAGUGGACUUCCUAGUGUAGCGGUGAAAUGCGUCGCUAUUAGGAGGAACACCAGUGGCGAAGGCGGCUUACUGGACUGUAACUGACGUUGCGGCUCGCAAGCGUGGGGAGCAAACAGGAUUAGAUACCCCUGUAGUC